RNAcentral lists this unclassified non-coding RNA (2155 nucleotides) under Hevea brasiliensis (rubber tree). The record is from RNAcentral. Lineage: Eukaryota; Viridiplantae; Streptophyta; Magnoliopsida; Malpighiales; Euphorbiaceae.
GUUGGAGCAGGGAGGCCUACGGUGCCUCGUCCAACGCUAGCUGUUGACAAGCAGCACGUUCUCCUCCACCGCCACGAUCAGCUCCUCCUUGUCCUCCUCGAUUGAGGAAUAUCCCUUCGGAGCCAAAUAUUCUGGGUUAUUUAUUUGUAUAAUUUUCUUGAACAAAAAUGAGUUCACAAUCUCGAGAAGAAGAUUCCAGAGAAGACGACAAAAAGGAAGAGUCAAGCCGCCUAUUAUCGACGCCAGCCCAAUCUCCGAUACCGUCUUCGGACGGCGAGGACCCCGACGAAGUUGCUUUCGAAGCGCGAGAGAAAGUCCUGAUCGUUGAUGUGCAUGGCCAGGAUGCAAUCGACGCCGACGAUUGUGUCCCGCCAUUUUCGUGGAAAAAACUGUGGUUGUUUACGGGACCUGGAUUUUUGAUGAGCAUUGCGUUUUUAGAUCCAGGGAAUCUAGAGGGGGAUCUCCAGGCAGGAGCGGUUGCCGGAUACCCGGCGGUCUCGCUGGUCAAAGGAGUGACCCACGAUUGCCUUCCCUGNUGGGCUUGCUGAUCCAGAUGCUAUCGGCCCGCGUCGGAGUGGCCACGGGACGGCACUUAGCGGAGUUGUGUAGAGAGGAGUACCCAAAUUGGGCAAGGUUGAUUUUGUGGUUCAUGGCGGAGGUGGCGCUUAUUGGGGCUGAUAUACAGGAGGUGAUAGGGAGCGCUAUUGCUAUACAUAUAUUGAGUAAUGGGGUUUUGCCGCUCUGGGCGGGAGUAGUGAUUACAGCUUUGGAUUGUUUUAUGUUUUUAUUUCUAGAGAAUUAUGGAGUGAGGAAGUUAGAAGCUGUUUUUGCAGUCCUAAUUGCAACUAUGGCUUUAUCAUUUGCCUGGAUGUUUGGUGACACCAAGCCUAGUGGAAAAGAACUUUUAACGGGUAUUUUAAUUCCAAGACUUAGUUCAAAAACAAUUCGUCAAGCUGUGGGGGUUGUGGGUUGUGUUAUAAUGCCGCACAAUGUGUUCUUGCAUUCAGCUUUGGUGCAAUCAAGGAAGAUUGAUCCUCAGAAGAAAGGUCAAGUUCAGGAGGCUCUGAAUUACUACUUAAUUGAGUCAUCAGUUGCUCUUCUAGUCUCCUUCAUGAUUAACUUGUUUGUGACAACUGUGUUUGCCAAGGGAUUCUAUGGCACUGAACAGGCCAAUAGCAUAGGACUAGUCAAUGCAGGGCAGUAUCUUCAAGAGAAAUAUGGAGGAGGAAUUUUUCCAAUUCUUUAUAUCUGGGGUAUUGGCUUGUUGGCAGCUGGACAAAGUAGUACAAUAACUGGCACAUAUGCAGGGCAAUUUAUUAUGGGAGGCUUUCUUAACCUUCGCUUGAAGAAAUGGCUGAGGGCAUUGAUAACACGAAGUUUUGCUAUUGUGCCAACUAUGAUAGUAGCUCUUGUGUUCAAUACAUCUGAAGCCUCAUUGGAUAUUUUGAAUGAAUGGCUAAAUGUGCUUCAGUCCAUACAGAUCCCUUUUGCACUUAUCCCCCUUCUUACUUUGGUGGCCAAGGAGCAGGUCAUGGGGAUCUUUAGAAUUGGGCCUGUUCUUGAGAGGCUGGCAUGGACAGUAGCUAUCCUGGUUAUACUGAUUAAUGGGUAUCUGUUGCUUGAUUUCUUCGCAUCUGAAGUUAAGGGGCUGCUGUUUGGUUUUCUGGCCUGCACUGGCACAGUUGCAUAUAUAGCAUUUAUUAUCUAUCUUGUUUCACGUGUUGGUGCUCUGUCGUCUCCUGGGCCCGGCUUAGAACUGUCCAAGAGGGAUGCUUACCCUGGAAAUUAAGUUUGUUCAAUUUCAAAAUAUUGGAAUCACUACCACCUGGGCCGUAUAACAACAGUUGUUGAAAGAGUCUCAACAGUAGAACAUUUUUUCACUGUCAAUCCCUAACCUCAGCGCAUACAUAAAGUGAGUGUACAAUUUGACUAUUUUCUGCAUGAUGGAGCUCUAUGGUCAUGUUUUAUCAUCAAUCGUGUGUGAGGAUACAUUUUCCUUUGUUUGGUGGGUGGAUGAAGCAUCACUGUAGCAAAAUGGUAAAUUACUUCCAUUGCAGUAGAUGCAUACAAGCCUGGUUAAUCAAACUUAGGAUGAGUUUAUUAGUUGUUCUUUGUUGCAACAGUUUAUCAUGUAACAUAGUCAAAAUGUCAUUGA